Microcebus murinus (gray mouse lemur) is the source of this 73-nucleotide small nucleolar RNA. The record is from Ensembl. NCBI's taxonomy places the organism in Eukaryota, Metazoa, Chordata, Mammalia, Primates, Cheirogaleidae.
AUAUGAUGAAAUCACCCAAAAUAGCUGGAAUUACCGGCAGAUUGUGUAGUGGUGAGCCUAUGGUUUUCUGAAG